This is a non-coding RNA of Gossypium arboreum, 124 nucleotides long. The record is from Rfam. NCBI's taxonomy places the organism in Eukaryota, Viridiplantae, Streptophyta, Magnoliopsida, Malvales, Malvaceae.
AAUAAUUUUAUGUCACGUUAGCAUUUUCAUCCUGAAUUUCAGCAUUUUCAUCAUGAAAAAAAAUUAAAUCCAAAUUAAAAUCCUGAAAUUCAGGAUAAGAAUACUGAUGCGGCAUAAAACUAUU